RNAcentral lists this ribosomal RNA (253 nucleotides) under uncultured bacterium. RNAcentral describes it as "partial 16S ribosomal RNA". It matches the Rfam family "Bacterial small subunit ribosomal RNA", at positions 524 to 776 of the family's 1533-position model. The record is from RNAcentral.
UACGGAGGGUGCAAGCGUUAUCCGGAUUCACUGGGUUUAAAGGGUGCGUAGGCGGGCAGGUAAGUCCGUGGUGAAAUCCUAGAGCUUAACUCUAGAACUGCCGUGGAUACUAUCUGUCUUGAAUCCCGUGGAGAUGAGCGGAAUAUGUCAUGUAGCGGUGAAAUGCUUAGAUAUGACAUAGAACACCAAUUGCGAAGGCAGCUCGUUACACGAAGAUUGACUCUGAGGCACGAAAGCGUGGGGAUCAAACAGG